RNAcentral lists this ribosomal RNA (2902 nucleotides) under Klebsiella pneumoniae. RNAcentral describes it as "23S ribosomal RNA". It matches the Rfam family "Bacterial large subunit ribosomal RNA". Lineage: Bacteria; Pseudomonadati; Pseudomonadota; Gammaproteobacteria; Enterobacterales; Enterobacteriaceae. The record is from RNAcentral.
GGUUAAGCGACUAAGCGUACACGGUGGAUGCCCUGGCAGUCAGAGGCGAUGAAGGACGUGCUAAUCUGCGAAAAGCGUCGGUAAGGUGAUAUGAACCGUUAUAACCGGCGAUGUCCGAAUGGGGAAACCCAGUGCAAUUCGUUGCACUAUCGUUAACUGAAUACAUAGGUUAACGAGGCGAACCGGGGGAACUGAAACAUCUAAGUACCCCGAGGAAAAGAAAUCAACCGAGAUUCCCCCAGUAGCGGCGAGCGAACGGGGAGCAGCCCAGAGUCUGAAUCAGCUUGUGUGUUAGUGGAACGGUCUGGAAAGUCCGACGGUACAGGGUGAUAGUCCCGUACACCAAAAUGCACAGGCUGUGAACUCGAAGAGUAGGGCGGGACACGUGGUAUCCUGUCUGAAUAUGGGGGGACCAUCCUCCAAGGCUAAAUACUCCUGACUGACCGAUAGUGAACCAGUACCGUGAGGGAAAGGCGAAAAGACCCGGCGAGGGGAGUGAAAAAGAACCUGAAACCGUGUACGUACAAGCAGUGGGAGCACCUUCGGGUGUGACUGCGUACCUUUUGUAUAAUGGGUCAGCGACUUAUAUUCUGUAGCAAGGUUAACCGUAUAGGGGAGCCGCAGGGAAACCGAGUCUUAACUGGGCGUUAAGUUGCAGGGUAUAGACCCGAAACCCGGUGAUCUAGCCAUGGGCAGGUUGAAGGUUGGGUAACACUAACUGGAGGACCGAACCGACUAAUGUUGAAAAAUUAGCGGAUGACUUGUGGCUGGGGGUGAAAGGCCAAUCAAACCGGGAGAUAGCUGGUUCUCCCCGAAAGCUAUUUAGGUAGCGCCUCGUGAACUCAUCUUCGGGGGUAGAGCACUGUUUCGGCUAGGGGGUCAUCCCGACUUACCAACCCGAUGCAAACUACGAAUACCGAAGAAUGUUAUCACGGGAGACACACGGCGGGUGCUAACGUCCGUCGUGAAGAGGGAAAAACCCAGACCGCCAGCUAAGGUCCCAAAGUCAUGGUUAAGUGGGAAACGAUGUGGGAAGGCACAGACAGCCAGGAUGUUGGCUUAGAAGCAGCCAUCAUUUAAAGAAAGCGUAAUAGCUCACUGGUCGAGUCGGCCUGCGCGGAAGAUGUAACGGGGCUAAACCAUGCACCGAAGCUGCGGCAGCGACACUAUGUGUUGUUGGGUAGGGGAGCGUUCUGUAAGCCUGCGAAGGUGUGCUGUGAGGCAUGCUGGAGGUAUCAGAAGUGCGAAUGCUGACAUAAGUAACGAUAAAGCGGGUGAAAAGCCCGCUCGCCGGAAGACCAAGGGUUCCUGUCCAACGUUAAUCGGGGCAGGGUGAGUCGACCCCUAAGGCGAGGCCGAAAGGCGUAGUCGAUGGGAAACAGGUUAAUAUUCCUGUACUUGGUGUUACUGCGAAGGGGGGACGGAGAAGGCUAUGUUAGCCGGGCGACGGUUGUCCCGGUUUAAGCAUGUAGGCUGAUUGUCCAGGCAAAUCCGGAUAAUCAAGGCUGAGGUGUGAUGACGAGGCACUACGGUGCUGAAGUAACAAAUGCCCUGCUUCCAGGAAAAGCCUCUAAGCAUCAGGUAACAUCAAAUCGUACCCCAAACCGACACAGGUGGUCAGGUAGAGAAUACCAAGGCGCUUGAGAGAACUCGGGUGAAGGAACUAGGCAAAAUGGUGCCGUAACUUCGGGAGAAGGCACGCUGGUGUGUAGGUGAAGUCCCUGCGGAUGGAGCUGAGACCAGUCGAAGAUACCAGCUGGCUGCAACUGUUUAUUAAAAACACAGCACUGUGCAAACACGAAAGUGGACGUAUACGGUGUGACGCCUGCCCGGUGCCGGAAGGUUAAUUGAUGGGGUUAUCCGUAAGGAGAAGCUCUUGAUCGAAGCCCCGGUAAACGGCGGCCGUAACUAUAACGGUCCUAAGGUAGCGAAAUUCCUUGUCGGGUAAGUUCCGACCUGCACGAAUGGCGUAAUGAUGAUGGCCAGGCUGUCUCCACCCGAGACUCAGUGAAAUUGAACUCGCUGUGAAGAUGCAGUGUACCCGCGGCAAGACGGAAAGACCCCGUGAACCUUUACUAUAGCUUGACACUGAACAUUGAGCCUUGAUGUGUAGGAUAGGUGGGAGGCUUUGAAGCGUGGACGCCAGUCUGCGUGGAGCCAACCUUGAAAUACCACCCUUUAAUGUUUGAUGUUCUAACGUUGGCCCCUGACCGGGGUUGCGGACAGUGUCUGGUGGGUAGUUUGACUGGGGCGGUCUCCUCCCAAAGCGUAACGGAGGAGCACGAAGGUUAGCUAAUCCUGGUCGGACAUCAGGAGGUUAGUGCAAUGGCAUAAGCUAGCUUGACUGCGAGCGUGACGGCGCGAGCAGGUGCGAAAGCAGGUCAUAGUGAUCCGGUGGUUCUGAAUGGAAGGGCCAUCGCUCAACGGAUAAAAGGUACUCCGGGGAUAACAGGCUGAUACCGCCCAAGAGUUCAUAUCGACGGCGGUGUUUGGCACCUCGAUGUCGGCUCAUCACAUCCUGGGGCUGAAGUAGGUCCCAAGGGUAUGGCUGUUCGCCAUUUAAAGUGGUACGCGAGCUGGGUUUAGAACGUCGUGAGACAGUUCGGUCCCUAUCUGCCGUGGGCGCUGGAGAAUUGAGGGGGGCUGCUCCUAGUACGAGAGGACCGGAGUGGACGCAUCACUGGUGUUCGGGUUGUCAUGCCAAUGGCACUGCCCGGUAGCUAAAUGCGGAAGAGAUAAGUGCUGAAAGCAUCUAAGCACGAAACUUGCCCCGAGAUGAGUUCUCCCUGAGACUUUAAGUCUCCUGAAGGAACGUUAAAGACGAUGACGUUGAUAGGCCGGGUGUGUAAGCGCAGCGAUGCGUUGAGCUAACCGGUACUAAUGAACCGUGAGGCUUAACCUU